This is a small nucleolar RNA of Suricata suricatta (meerkat), 143 nucleotides long. The record is from Ensembl. NCBI's taxonomy places the organism in Eukaryota, Metazoa, Chordata, Mammalia, Carnivora, Herpestidae.
ACCCCCUGGCAAUGGGCAAAGAGACACCUUGGCGGUGGUGGUGCUCUUAUAUCAGCCUGGGGCAGAGCAGACGCGGUCCUUUGUUCAUCCUAGCUUGAUGCCUGGGUUGGUGGCCAGAGCUGUUUCAUGCCUAGGGCACAGAA